UACAGAGGGGGCUAGCGUUGUUCGGAAUUACUGGGCGUAAAGCGCACGUAGGCGGCUUGGUAUGUCGGGUGUGAAAUCCCCGGGCUCAACCUGGGAACUGCAUCCGAAACUGCCUUGCUCGAGUAUGGGAGAGGGAAGUGGAAUUUCCGGUGUAGCGGUGAAAUGCGUAGAUAUCGGAAGGAACAUCAGUGGCGAAGGCGACUUCCUGGACCAAUACUGACGCUCAGGUGCGAAAGCGUGGGGAGCAAACAGG
RNAcentral lists this ribosomal RNA (253 nucleotides) under uncultured bacterium. Its description in RNAcentral is "partial 16S ribosomal RNA". It matches the Rfam family "Bacterial small subunit ribosomal RNA", at positions 524 to 776 of the family's 1533-position model. The record is from RNAcentral.